Molecule: ribosomal RNA, 497 nt
Filed under: uncultured bacterium
Lineage: Bacteria
Description: partial 16S ribosomal RNA
Rfam family: Bacterial small subunit ribosomal RNA
Source: RNAcentral
GAUGAACGCUGGCGGCGUGCCUAAUACAUGCAAGUCGAGCGAACAGAUAAGGAGCUUGCUCCUUUGACGUUAGCGGCGGACGGGUGAGUAACACGUGGGUAACCUACCUAUAAGACUGGGAUAACUUCGGGAAACCGGAGCUAAUACCGGAUAACAUUUGGAACCGCAUGGUUCUAAAGUGAAAGAUGGUUUUGCUAUCACUUAUAGAUGGACCCGCGCCGUAUUAGCUAGUUGGUAAGGUAACGGCUUACCAAGGCAACGAUACGUAGCCGACCUGAGAGGGUGAUCGGCCACACUGGAACUGAGACACGGUCCAGACUCCUACGGGAGGCAGCAGUAGGGAAUCUUCCGCAAUGGGCGAAAGCCUGACGGAGCAACGCCGCGUGAGUGAUGAAGGUCUUCGGCUCGUAAAACUCUGUUAUUAGGGAAGAACAAAUGUGUAAGUAACUGUGCACGUCUUGACGGUACCUAAUCAGAAAGCCACGGCUAACUACGUG